GGGGAUUUAGCUCAGUGGUGCCGCCGCCUGCCUUGGAAGCACAAGGACCCAAGUUCAAUCCCUGGUAUCCCCA
Molecule: transfer RNA, 73 nt
Filed under: Fukomys damarensis (Damara mole-rat)
Lineage: Eukaryota; Metazoa; Chordata; Mammalia; Rodentia; Bathyergidae
Rfam family: tRNA
About the family: Transfer RNA (tRNA) molecules are approximately 80 nucleotides in length.
Source: Rfam by way of RNAcentral